CCUACGGGAGGCAGCAGUGGGGAAUAUUGCGCAAUGGGCGAAAGCCUGACGCAGCGACGCCGCGUGAGGGAUGAAGGUCUUCGGAUUGUAAACCUCUUUCAGCAGGGACGAAGCGAAAGUGACGGUACCUGAAGAAGAAGCACCGGCUAACUACGUGCCAGCAGCCGCGGUAAUACGUAGGGUGCAAGCGUUGUCCGGAUUUAUUGGGCGUAAAGAGCUCGUAGGCGGUUAGACACGUCGGAUGUGAAAACUGGGGGCUCAACCCCCAGCCUGCAUUCGAUACGGUCUGACUAGAGUGUGGUAGGGGUAACUGGAAUUCCUGGUGUAGCGGUGAAAUGCGCAGAUAUCAGGAGGAACACCGAUGGCGAAGGCAGGUUACUGGGCCACCACUGACGCUGAGGAGCGAAAGCGUGGGGAGCAAACAGGAUUAGAUACCCUGGUAGUCCACGCCGUAAACGGUGGGCGCUAGAUGUGGGGACCAUUCCAUGGUUUCUGCGUCGCAGCUAACGCAUUAAGCGCCCCGCCUGGGGAGUACGGUCGCAAGCUAAAACUCAAAGAGUAGUGCGNGNGAGAGCGACGACGACGACGAGGAGGAGAGG
Molecule: ribosomal RNA, 599 nt
Filed under: uncultured bacterium
Lineage: Bacteria
Description: bacterial SSU rRNA
Rfam family: Bacterial small subunit ribosomal RNA
Source: RNAcentral